AUUAAACGCUGGCGGCAUGCCUUACACAUGCAAGUCGAACGGCAGCACGGGGCAACCUGGUGGCGAGUGGCGAACGGGUGAGUAAAGCAUCGGAACGUGCCCUGGAGUGGGGGAUAACGUAGCGAAAGUUACGCUAAUACCGCAUAUUCUGUGAGCAGGAAAGCAGGGGAUCGCAAGACCUUGCGCUCUGGGANCGGCCGAUGUCGGAUUAGCUAGUUGGUGGGGUAAAGGCUCACCAAGGCGACGAUCUGUAGCGGGUCUGAGAGGAUGAUCCGCCACACUGGGACUGAGACACGGCCCAGACUCCUACGGGAGGCAGCAGUGGGGAAUUUUGGACAAUGGGCGCAAGCCUGAUCCAGCCAUGCCGCGUGCGGGACGAAGGCCUCGG
This 388-nucleotide ribosomal RNA is filed under the name uncultured bacterium. RNAcentral's name for it is "bacterial SSU rRNA". It matches the Rfam family "Bacterial small subunit ribosomal RNA", at positions 29 to 420 of the family's 1533-position model. The record is from RNAcentral.